Marmota flaviventris (yellow-bellied marmot) is the source of this 1063-nucleotide long non-coding RNA. RefSeq lists it as uncharacterized. The record is from RefSeq and is a predicted model, not a curated record. Lineage: Eukaryota; Metazoa; Chordata; Mammalia; Rodentia; Sciuridae.
GAGGGGCUGUUGAAAAGACUGGUCAACCCACCAGAUCUGUUUGACAAUAUACACACAACAUCAACAACCCCUCCCCAAACCCUCUCCUUCAUCAAAAUUGAUUGAAAGCCUACCUUCGUCUUUUGGGAGAUCGACUCCGCCUACAAAGAGGAGGAAGAGAGCCUAGGGUAUAAUCCUCAAAAUCUCCCUUGAAAAGGUCAAGGACUAGAGCCUUACCUUCUGGGAGACCGACUCCUACUCCUCCUGUAGCGCAACGUUGGAGAGCGACGGGGCUUGUCCAAGUCUCUGUAGCUUCUGCGGCGGUGGUCAGGUGAUGGUACUCUUUCCAACUGGAAACGAGAUAGAUGGGAGGAUUUCAGAUUAAAAUGCUGAAAAAAUGGAAAAUUAGAAUAUAUCACCGUUUUACAACACCUAAUGGAUCUAGGCAUUGAUCCUAACAUCAAAAAAGGUGAGACAAUUCCAGAGACUUGGGAGGCUGAAGAUGGAGGACGGACUGCAUGUUUGAGGCCAGCUGUAGCAAUUUAGCAAGACCCUCUCUCUCAGAAUAAACAAAAAAUGAAACAAGACAGACUUUAUGCUUAUGAAAUAGUGCUGCUCCACUUCAAAGGAGAUAAACCCCCCCAAAUCUGAUUAAGCCUCAAGAUUUAAUAACUAAUGGGAAUGAUACAAAGGGCACAGGAAAAUGUUAGUAACAUCACAGAUAAAAAUCAGAAAAACAGACUGUAAAUUUGUGUAGGAUAAAUGAUCUGAUAAUAAUAAUAUCACAAAAAUGUACGAUAAAACAGUGAAAGAUGGAACUUACAGACUUAAAGAUGCUUUAAGAGUCAUAAAAACCAACUAUGAUGGGGAUGGGGCUGAGCGGUGGCACAGUUGCCUGGCAUGUGUGAAGCAGAGGACUUGAUUCUCAACAUGGUGUAUCUAUCAACAACUAAAAAAAAAAAUUAAAAAAAAAAACCAAAACAACUAUGAUGUAUGGACACUGAACACUUACUCAAUUAAACUUAAAAAAUACAGGAUAGGGCUGGGGUUGUGGCUCAAGUGGUAGAGCACUACACUAGCAUGU